This 468-nucleotide ribosomal RNA is filed under the name uncultured bacterium. Its description in RNAcentral is "partial 16S ribosomal RNA". It matches the Rfam family "Bacterial small subunit ribosomal RNA", at positions 28 to 507 of the family's 1533-position model. The record is from RNAcentral.
GACGAACGCUGGCGGCGUGCUUAACACAUGCAAGUCGAACGGAAAGGCCCUGCGUUUGUGGGGUGCUCGAGUGGCGAACGGGUGAGUAACACGUGAGUAACCUGCCCUUGACUUUGGGAUAACUUCAGGAAACAGGGGCGAAUACCGGAUAGGAGCUCCUGCUGCAUGGUGGGGGUUGGAAAGUUUCGGCGGUUGGGGAUGGACUCGCGGCUUAUCAGCUUGUUGGUGGGGUAGUGGCUUACCAAGGCUUUGACGGGUAGCCGGCCUGAGAGGGUGACCGGCCACCUUGGGACUGAGGUACGGCCCCGACUCCUACGGGAGGCAGCAGUGGGGAAUAUUGCACAAUGGGCGGAAGCCUGAUGCAGCAACGCCGCGUGCGGGAUGACGGCCUUCGGGUUGUAAACCGCUUUCGCCUGUGACGAAGCGUGAGUGACGGUAAUGGGUACAGAAGCACCGGCUAACUACGUG